Molecule: transfer RNA, 71 nt
Filed under: Nibea coibor
Lineage: Eukaryota; Metazoa; Chordata; Actinopteri; Sciaenidae
Also listed under: 2 other names
Description: tRNA-Trp
Rfam family: tRNA
About the family: Transfer RNA (tRNA) molecules are approximately 80 nucleotides in length. Their secondary structure includes four short double-helical elements and three loops (D, anti-codon, and T loops). Further hydrogen bonds mediate the characteristic L-shaped molecular structure. tRNAs have two regions of fundamental functional importance: the anti-codon, which is responsible for specific mRNA codon recognition, and the 3' end, to which the tRNAs corresponding amino acid is attached (by aminoacyl-tRNA synthetases). tRNAs cope with the degeneracy of the genetic code in two manners: having more than one tRNA (with a specific anti-codon) for a particular amino acid; and 'wobble' base-pairing, i.e. permitting non-standard base-pairing at the 3rd anti-codon position.
Source: RNAcentral
AGAGACUUAGGAUAAUUUAAGACCAAGGGCCUUCAAAGCCCUCAGCGAGGGUGAAAACCCCUUAGUCCCUG